Aquila chrysaetos chrysaetos is the source of this 1654-nucleotide long non-coding RNA. RefSeq lists it as uncharacterized. NCBI's taxonomy places the organism in Eukaryota, Metazoa, Chordata, Aves, Accipitriformes, Accipitridae. The transcript is spliced from 3 exons. The record is from RefSeq and is a predicted model, not a curated record.
GGGCGGGGAGGAGGCUGAGGCGGCAGCGGGAGGACGAGGACCGGGGGGGGGGGGGGGGGAAGGCCCGCCGGGGCGGCCUGGAGGCGGGAAGGAGGCGCACGGGUGCGAGCUUCCUCUGGAGAACGAGGUUUUCCAGAAGAAGGGGAUUUUAAACUAUGAUUUGAGGCACAGUAAGCAUGCAGAUGCUACGCGCAAAACCCCUCAAGAAGUCAGUUGACCAUUGAGUUAUGAAGUGGAAAACCCUCUUGCCACUACUGUCUAUGCUGAAAAAAUGGACCAUGAGGGACUGUCUCAGGGCUACAACUCUCUGGGAUGGAGCAAGACAAUCCACAACAGGAUGGGCAGACCUUGGAAGCAUGGACACUGGGCAAAGGAGGUUGUCUCCCUGAUGAUUCCACAUUUACUCUCCAAUGAACCAGAUACUACUCAGAGCCCAGUCAUUCUCUUUUUUGAGUGACAAUAUUGGAGGAGUAGAAAAGCACCAACAAAUUGGAUACAUCAUUCUUCAGACAUAAGAUAACCAGAAGGGAUGUCCAGAAUUUCAUUUUCAGCUGCCGGGUUCAAGGUUCUGGACAAGGGCUCUGUCAGGGUACACCCAUUCUGCAGUGCCACGACAACAAGUACAAGGUCCAAGGAAGGUAGUUGUCACCUUGCUCACCGAAGUCCGCUCACCACUGGCUCAUAACAGUUGUUCGGUGAUCAGUGUAGGGUGGGCAAAUUCACAAGUGCUUUGGUCAUAGCCUAGCUAACUAAGCAGUUCCUGUGUUUCUGUAAAGUUCACAUCUUUGGCACCCCAAAGUCAUUACCAGACUGACGGCUAUUCAGGAUCUUCCUUUCUUUUGCCUCCUUUUUCCAAAAAUAGUCUGGUACUUCUGGGUUGGAUAUGGUUAUAAGCCCACUCAAAAGAAAAAGAAGUAAAAUGUUAUCUAAAAAAAAAAAUUACAAAAUUAGUCUUCAGCGAAAAUCAACUUUCCAUUUAGCAAACAUUUGAGUUUUGCAAUUCUUUUUAUUGCUGUAAAGCCAAUAUAUAUGUGUGAAUAUUGUAAUAUAUUCAAGUAUUGAGCCUAAAACUCAAUCACUCAUCCCUCACUCAAUUUUUUAGACUGCAAAUAAUUUGGGACAAGGGCACCUAUUUGCUUAUGCAAUGUGGAACAUAGCGGACCUUCUAUACUUCUGCUCCCAAUGCAUGUAAACGUGACACAAUGACUUUCAAGAUAUAACCUAGCUUUAAUAUAACCUAGCUUUAGAUUUACGCUCUUGCAUUGUAACACAUGGGAAAUAAAUUUGAAUGCUGGAACUUUUUUCAUACUAAAAGUUGAGAAAAUUUGGGUUGUGCUAAUACAGAACAAAAACAAAGUUUGAAACCUUGAAAAUUACUGUGAAAAAGAAUUUCUCUCCUGCGCACUCCAGAAAGGAACUGAUUCUUGGCUUAGGUGAUUUCAAACAUACAGCUGUAUUUCCUCAUGACAAGGACACCUGCAGGCAAAAGAUAUGCACUAAAAAAUUGGUUUGAAAAUUCUAGCUACUCAGAAGUUUUCACAAAACAAUUUUUCUUUAAAUAAUAUCAAUCCACAAGCAGAAAAGUGAAAUCCAUCACUUUCAAAGUGUGUUGUAGGAUCAAGGAAGCUUACACUUCAUUAGCAAUUACAAAUUG